This 374-nucleotide ribosomal RNA is filed under the name uncultured Sphingobacteriales bacterium. Its description in RNAcentral is "bacterial SSU rRNA". It matches the Rfam family "Bacterial small subunit ribosomal RNA", at positions 1009 to 1382 of the family's 1533-position model. The record is from RNAcentral. Lineage: Bacteria; Pseudomonadati; Bacteroidota; Sphingobacteriia; Sphingobacteriales.
UUACAUCUCUUCGGAGCAUUUUACGAGGUGCUGCAUGGUUGUCGUCAGCUCGUGCCGUGAGGUGUCGGGUUAAGUCCCAUAACCGAGCGCAACCCCUACCUUUAGUUGCCAUCAGGUUAAGGCUGGGGACGUCUAAAGGAACUGCCUACGCAAGUAGUGAGGAAGCGGGGAUGACGUCAAAUCAGCACGGCCCUUACGCCCAGGGCUACACACGUGCUACAAUGGCCGAUACAGAGGGCAGCUACCUGGUGACAGGAUGCAAAUCUCCAAAGUCGGUCUCAGUUCGGAUCGGAGUCUGCAACCCGACUCCGUGAAGUUGGAUUCGCUAGUAAUCGCGCAUCAGCCAUGGCGCGGUGAAUACGUUCCCGGGCCUU